GUUUGAAAAUAAUAAAAUGACGAAAGAUGUGCCACAAAGAAAAACUUUUGAGCACAACAGAAAAUUGAUUUUUGUUAGGUACCCCAGACAGACGGAAAGACAGAUGGAUAGAUGGAUGAAUGGAUGGAUCUGUGGAUGGUUCUUCGUCGGAGAAAUGAAACUGGGGUUCUGGGCGUCUCUUUCUCUCUGCUAUGGAGAUGGAAGAGGGCCCGAGAGUAUGCAGAGAGUCCGCUGAGUGAUGUGCGCAUGGAUAAUGAAGCAAUGACGGCAUGAAUGACUGAAUGAGGC
Molecule: long non-coding RNA, 288 nt
Filed under: Drosophila guanche
Lineage: Eukaryota; Metazoa; Arthropoda; Insecta; Diptera; Drosophilidae
Source: RNAcentral